AUUGAACGCUGGCGGCAUGCCUUACACAUGCAAGUCGAACGGCAGCACGGGAGCAAUCCUGGUGGCGAGUGGCGAACGGGUGAGUAAUGUAUCGGAACGUACCUUUCAGUGGGGGAUAACGUAGCGAAAGUUACGCUAAUACCCGCAUAUUCUGUGAGCAGGAAAGCAGGGGAUCGCAAGACCUUGCGCUGAUUGAGCGGCCGAUAUCAGAUUAGCUAGUUGGUGAGGUAACGGCUCACCAAGGCGACGAUCUGUUGCGGGUCUGAGAGGAUGAUCCGCCACACUGGAACUGAGACACGGUCCAGACUCCUACGGGAGGCAGCAGUGGGGAAUUUUGGACAAUGGGCGCAAGCCUGAUCCAGCCAUGCCGCGUGAGUGAAG
This 381-nucleotide ribosomal RNA is filed under the name uncultured bacterium. RNAcentral's name for it is "bacterial SSU rRNA". It matches the Rfam family "Bacterial small subunit ribosomal RNA", at positions 30 to 410 of the family's 1533-position model. The record is from RNAcentral.